RNAcentral lists this long non-coding RNA (399 nucleotides) under Phaseolus vulgaris (common bean). Its description in RNAcentral is "long non-coding RNA (PVUL_LNC004186)". The record is from RNAcentral. Lineage: Eukaryota; Viridiplantae; Streptophyta; Magnoliopsida; Fabales; Fabaceae.
UCACUUUGAAGUUCCAGGAGUGAUCCUUGUCGGGUCUGCUUCUAUUGAUGAAAAGGAAAACGUAGAAGCUACCUUAGCCAAUGAAGAAGAAGCUACCUUAGCCAAUGAAGCAAGCGCCAGAGGUACCUUAGCCAAUGAAGCAAGCGCCGAAGCUGCCUUAGCCAAUGAAGAAGAAGAAGCUACCUUAGCCAAUGAAGCAAGCGCUGAAGCUACCUUAGCCAAUGAAGCAAGUGCUGAAGCUACCUUAGCCAAUGAAGCAAGGGCUGAAGCUACCUUAGCCAAUGAAGCAAGCUCUGAAGCUACAGUAACCAAUGAAGCAAGCGCUGAAGCUAAAAUAUGCAUUGAAGUAAGCUCUGAAGGUAAAAGAGCCAAUGAAGCAAGCUCAGAAGCUAAAAUAGC